Molecule: ribosomal RNA, 253 nt
Filed under: uncultured bacterium
Lineage: Bacteria
Description: partial 16S ribosomal RNA
Rfam family: Bacterial small subunit ribosomal RNA
Source: RNAcentral
UACGAAGGGGGCUAGCGUUGUUCGGAUUUACUGGGCGUAAAGCGCACGUAGGCGGAUCGUUAAGUCGGGGGUGAAAUCCUGGAGCUCAACUCCAGAACUGCCUUCGAUACUGGCGAUCUUGAGUCCGGGAGAGGUGAGUGGAACUGCGAGUGUAGAGGUGAAAUUCGUAGAUAUUCGCAAGAACACCAGUGGCGAAGGCGGCUCACUGGCCCGGUACUGACGCUGAGGUGCGAAAGCGUGGGGAGCAAACAGG